AAGUGCGAUCAUACCAGGACUAAUGCACCGGAUCCCAUCGCAACUCCGUAGUGAAGCGUGCUUGGGCGAGAGUAGAAAUAGGAUGGGUGACCUCCUGGGAAGUCCUCGUGUUGCACCUC
This 119-nucleotide ribosomal RNA is filed under the name Lupinus angustifolius (narrow-leaved blue lupine). Lineage: Eukaryota; Viridiplantae; Streptophyta; Magnoliopsida; Fabales; Fabaceae. The record is from RNAcentral.